UCAAGCUAAUAAGGGCUAACGGUGGAUACCUAGGCACACGGAAGCGAAGAAGGACGUAGUUACCGACGAAACGCUUCGGGGAGCGGGAAGCAAGCAUUGAUCCGAAGAUAUCCGAAUGGGGCAACCCUAAACACGACCACCUGAAUACAUAGGGUGGAGCGAGCAAACCUGGUGAACUGAAACAUCUUAGUAGCCAGAGGAAAAGAAAGCAACAGCGAUUCCCCCAGUAGCGGCGAGCGAAAAGGGAACAGCCUAAACCAAGUUCUUCGGAACUUGGGGUCGUGGGACAGUGACAAAAGACUGGGAAAUUUAGACGAAGCGGCUGAAAACCGCACCAGAGAAGGUGAAAGUCCUGUAGUCGAAAAAGGCACCAGCUUAACUGCAUCCCGAGUAGCAUGGGGCACGUGAAAUCCCGUGUGAAUCUGCCUCGACCACGAGGUAAGGCUAAAUAUUCCCGUGUGACCGAUAGAGAAACAGUACCGCGAGGGAAAGGUGAAAAGAACCCCGGAAGGGGAGUGAAAUAGAACAUGAAACCGUUAGCCUACAAGCAAUGGGAGGACGAUUGAACGUCUGACCGUGUGCCUGUUGAAGAAUGAGCCGGCGACUUACAGGUUAUGGCAGGUGAAGGGGGAAGACCCCACAGCCCCAGCGAAAGCGAGUCUGAAUAGGGCGAAGCGUCAUAAUUUGUAGACCCGAACCCGGGUGAUCUAACCAUGGCCAGGAUGAAGCUUGGGUAAAACCAAGUGGAGGUCCGAACCGACUGAUGUUGAAAAAUCAGCGGAUGAGCUGUGGUUAGGGGUGAAAUGCCAAUCGAACUCGGAGCUAGCUGGUUCUCCCCGAAAUGUGUUGAGGCGCAGCGGUAGUGGAAGUUUAGUCGGGGUAAAGCACUGUUUCGCCGCGGGCUGGGAGACCGGUACCAAGGCGAGGCAAACUCUGAAUACGGCUAAAAAAACUACCAGUGAGACGGUGGGGGAUAAGCUUCAUCGUCAAGAGGGAAACAGCCCAGACCACCAGCUAAGGUCCCCAAAUGAUAACUAAGUGAGAAAGGAGGUGGGAGUGCAUUGACAACCAGGAGGUUUGCCUAGAAGCAGCAAUCCUUAAAAGAGUGCGUAAUAGCUCACUGGUCAAGCGCUCCUGCGCCGAAAAUGAACGGGGCUAAGUUAUCUACCGAAGCUGUGGACUACAUUGUAGUGGUAGGGGAGCGUUCUAUAGGGGGUGAAGCAGUAGCGGCAAGCAGCUGUGGACUCUAUAGAAGUGAGAAUGUCGGCUUAAGUAGCGAAAAUGUGGGUGAGAAUCCCACACCCCGAAACCCCAAGGUUUCCUCCGCAAGGCUCGUCCGCGGAGGGUGAGUCAGGACCUAAGGCGAGGCUGAAAAGCGUAGUCGAUGGACAACGGGUUAACAUUCCCGUACCGAUUAAUGAUUGUGCCGGAGAACGGAGAAGGUCAACGUCAGCUGGAUGUUGGUUACCAGUGCAAGCAGUCGAGGCGAUGAGCGGUGGCGAAAACACCAGGAGCUAAGACGCGAGUCCCACCUCCCACGGGAGGGAAGUGGCGCUGAUCAAGCUUCCUAGAAAAGCCCGAACCACGUUAAUCAUUAAUUGCCUGUACCCGAAACCGACACAGGUGGGGAAGUAGAGAAUACUAAGGGGCGCGAGAUAACUCUCUCUAAGGAACUCGGCAAAAUGACCCCGUAACUUCGGGAGAAGGGGUACCCUCGCAAGAGGGUCGCAGUGAAUAGGCCCAGGCGACUGUUUACCAAAAACACAGGUCUCCGCCAAGUCGUAAGACGCAGUAUGGGGGCUGACGCCUGCCCAGUGCCGGAAGGUUAAGGAAGUUGGUCAGGAGUAAUCUGAAGCUGACGACCGAAGCCCCGGUGAACGGCGGCCGUAACUAUAACGGUCCUAAGGUAGCGAAAUUCCUUGUCGGGUAAGUUCCGACCCGCACGAAAGGCGUAACGAUCUGGGCACUGUCUCGGAGAGAGACUCGGCGAAAUAGGAUUGUCUGUGAAGAUACGGACUACCUGCACCUGGACAGAAAGACCCUAUGAAGCUUUACUGUAGCCUGGAAUUGGCUUCGGGCUUCGCUUGCGCAGGAUAGGUGGGAAGCUUUGAAACUCUCCUCGUGGGGAGGGUGGAGCUAACGGUGAGAUACCACUCUGGCGAGGCUAGAAUUCUAACCCUGACCCCUAAUCGGGGCGGGAGACAGUUUCAGGUGGGCAGUUUGACUGGGGCGGUCGCCUCCUAAAAGGUAACGGAG
This 2256-nucleotide ribosomal RNA is filed under the name marine metagenome. RNAcentral describes it as "bacterial LSU rRNA". It matches the Rfam family "Bacterial large subunit ribosomal RNA", at positions 3 to 2305 of the family's 2925-position model. The record is from RNAcentral.